This 70-nucleotide transfer RNA is filed under the name marine eukaryotic metagenome. It matches the Rfam family "tRNA". Rfam says of the family: Transfer RNA (tRNA) molecules are approximately 80 nucleotides in length. Their secondary structure includes four short double-helical elements and three loops (D, anti-codon, and T loops). Further hydrogen bonds mediate the characteristic L-shaped molecular structure. tRNAs have two regions of fundamental functional importance: the anti-codon, which is responsible for specific mRNA codon recognition, and the 3' end, to which the tRNAs corresponding amino acid is attached (by aminoacyl-tRNA synthetases). tRNAs cope with the degeneracy of the genetic code in two manners: having more than one tRNA (with a specific anti-codon) for a particular amino acid; and 'wobble' base-pairing, i.e. permitting non-standard base-pairing at the 3rd anti-codon position. The record is from RNAcentral.
GGCUGUAGCUCAGCUGGAUAGAGUAUCUGGCUUCGAACCAGGUGGUCGCAGGUUCGAAUCCUGCCAGCCG